RNAcentral lists this ribosomal RNA (935 nucleotides) under Lactiplantibacillus plantarum. RNAcentral's name for it is "bacterial SSU rRNA". It matches the Rfam family "Bacterial small subunit ribosomal RNA", at positions 547 to 1485 of the family's 1533-position model. Lineage: Bacteria; Bacillati; Bacillota; Bacilli; Lactobacillales; Lactobacillaceae. The record is from RNAcentral.
GGAUUUAUGGGGGUAAAGCGAGCGCGGGCGGUUUUUUAAGUCUGAGGUGAAAGGCUUGGGCUCAACCGAGGAAGGGCAUCGGAAACUGGGAAACUUGAGUGCAGAAGAGGACAGUGGAACUCCAUGUGUAGCGGUGAAAUGCGUAGAUAUAUGGAAGAACACCAGUGGCGAAGGCGGCUGUCUGGUCUGUAACUGACGCUGAGGCUCGAAAGUAUGGGUAGCAAACAGGAUUAGAUACCCUGGUAGUCCAUACCGUAAACGAUGAAUGCUAAGUGUUGGAGGGUUUCCGCCCUUCAGUGCUGCAGCUAACGCAUUAAGCAUUCCGCCUGGGGAGUACGGCCGCAAGGCUGAAACUCAAAGGAAUUGACGGGGGCCCGCACAAGCGGUGGAGCAUGUGGUUUAAUUCGAAGCUACGCGAAGAACCUUACCAGGUCUUGACAUACUAUGCAAAUCUAAGAGAUUAGACGUUCCCUUCGGGGACAUGGAUACAGGUGGUGCAUGGUUGUCGUCAGCUCGUGUCGUGAGAUGUUGGGUUAAGUCCCGCAACGAGCGCAACCCUUAUUAUCAGUUGCCAGCAUUAAGUUGGGCACUCUGGUGAGACUGCCGGUGACAAACCGGAGGAAGGUGGGGAUGACGUCAAAUCAUCAUGCCCCUUAUGACCUGGGCUACACACGUGCUACAAUGGAUGGUACAACGAGUUGGGAACUCGGGAGAGUAAGCUAAUCUCUUAAAGCCAUUCUCAGUUCGGAUGGUAGGGCGGCAACUGGCCUACAGGAAGUGGGAAUCGCUAGUAAUCGGGGAUCAGCAUGCCGCGGGGAAUACGUUCCCGGGCCUGGUACACACCGCCGGUCACACCAGGGGAGUUGGUAACACCCAAAGUCGGUGGGGUAACCUUUGGGAACCAGCCGCCUAAGGGGGACAGAUAUUAGGGGAAG